Molecule: unclassified non-coding RNA, 435 nt
Filed under: soil metagenome
Description: partial contains 5.8S ribosomal RNA, internal transcribed spacer 2, and large subunit ribosomal RNA
Rfam family: 5.8S ribosomal RNA (bases 5-121)
Source: RNAcentral
GAUGGAAGAACGUAGCGAAAUGCGAUACGUAAUGUGAAUUGCAGAAUUCAGUGAAUCAUCGAAUCUUUGAACGCAUAUUGCGCUCUUUGGUAUUCCGAAGAGCAUGCUUGUUUGAGUAUCAGUAAACACCUCAAAGCUUUUGGAUUUUUUAAUCGAAAAGCUUUGGACUUGAGCAAUCCCAACACCAAUCUUUUUGAGAUCGGUGGCGGGUUGCUUGAAAUGCAGGUGCAGCUGGACAUUCUCCUGAGCUAAAAGCAUAUUCAUUUAGUCCCGUCAAACGGAUUAUUACUUUUGCUGCAGCUAACAUAAAGGGAGUUUGACCGUAUUGGCUGACUGAUGCAGGAUUUCACAAGGGUCGGCAACGAUUCUUGUUAAACUCGAUCUCAAAUCAAGUAAGACUACCCGCUGAACUUAAGCAUAUCAAUAAGCGGAGGA